RNAcentral lists this ribosomal RNA (253 nucleotides) under uncultured bacterium. Its description in RNAcentral is "partial 16S ribosomal RNA". It matches the Rfam family "Bacterial small subunit ribosomal RNA", at positions 524 to 776 of the family's 1533-position model. The record is from RNAcentral.
UACGGGGGGGGCAAGCGUUGUUCGGAAUUACUGGGCGUAAAGGGCUCGUAGGCGGCCAACUAAGUCAGACGUGAAAUCCCCAGGCUCAACCUGGGAACUGCGUCUUAUACUGGAUGGCUUGAAUCCGGGAGAGGGAUGCAGAAUUCCAGGUGUAGCGGUGAAAUGCGUAGAUAUCUGGAGGAAUACCGGUGGCGAAGGCGGCAUCCUGGACCGGCAUUGACGCUGAGGAGCGAAAGCCAGGGGAGCAAACGGG